CCUACGGGAGGCAGCAGUGGGGAAUAUUGGGCAAUGGAGGAAACUCUGACCCAGCGACGCCGCGUGCGGGAUGAAGGCCUUCGGGUUGUAAACCGCUUUCAGUAGGGAAGAAGCGAAAGUGACGGUACCUACAGAAGAAGCACCGGCUAACUAUGUGCCAGCAGCCGCGGUAAUACAUAGGGUGCAAGCGUUGUCCGGAAUUAUUGGGCGUAAAGAGCUCGUAGGUGGUUCGUCACGUCGGAUGUGAAAAUCUGGGGCUCAACCCCAGACCUGCAUUCGAUACGGGCGAUCUAGAGUGUGGUAGGGGAGACUGGAAUUCCUGGUGUAGCGGUGGAAUGCGCAGAUAUCAGGAGGAACACCAAUGGCGAAGGCAGGUCUCUGGGCCAUUACUGACACUGAGGAGCGAAAGCGUGGGGAGCGAACAGGAUUAGAUACCCUGGUAGUCCACGCCGUAAACGGUGGGCACUAGUUGUGGGAACCUUCCACGGUUUCUGCGACGCAGCUAACGCAUUAAGUGCCCCGCCUGGGGAGUACAAUCGCAAGNUUAAAACUCAAAUGAAUUGACGGCUGAGAGNGCGACGACGACGACGAGGGAGAGG
RNAcentral lists this ribosomal RNA (599 nucleotides) under uncultured bacterium. Its description in RNAcentral is "bacterial SSU rRNA". It matches the Rfam family "Bacterial small subunit ribosomal RNA", at positions 338 to 950 of the family's 1533-position model. The record is from RNAcentral.